RNAcentral lists this long non-coding RNA (3154 nucleotides) under Durio zibethinus. RNAcentral describes it as "long non-coding RNA (DZIB_LNC002347)". Lineage: Eukaryota; Viridiplantae; Streptophyta; Magnoliopsida; Malvales; Malvaceae. The record is from RNAcentral.
CAAACAAAAGAUGAUGUAUAUAUUUCUUAAAUACUCUAGAUUGCACAACUAAUUAUCUUGCCUAUUCUUCUUUUUAGUUGAUACAUGGAAUUUGAUUUACAAAAGGAAAUAGAUGUUGUACUCCCAAUUUUUUCUCAGUUUGUAACUCAAUUUUAAAAUCUCCGAAUUGUUUGUGACCUUGUCGAGGUGUAGUUUACAGAUAAUUUUUACACAUGAAAAUUAUAUAAUUAAUUAUUAAAAUGAAACAAUCAUAAACCAGAGCUAUUCAUGGGUCGAAAUCAAGUUCAUGGGCGUAGCCCAAUUCCGAACAAGUCCAACACAUGACUUUGAGAGUCAAGUCAAGCCAAGCCUAAUCCGAAUAAUAAUUAAUAAAGGAUUUAAUUUUAAUUUUAAAUAUUGGUAUAAAUAUUGUUAAUAUUUUAAUAAUAAAUAGAAUUUGAACUGACGGGUCAAGAUUUAAGAGAUGUAAACCAUGGAUGCCUCUAAUUCAUUACACAAAAGGAAUAUAAUUACUCCCAAAAAAUAAAAAAUUCACACUAGAAGCACUUUAUUCGAAGAAUCAACUUCAUUGCAAUGGUCUAAUGAAGUAACAAAGAAUGAAAUCGGGAAAAAAAAAAAAAAAACCAAUAGAGAAGAGCCAAACAAGCUCUUUUUAAUUUAAUGCUUCAAGAAAGCAAGAAGUGAAACGAUCAAAGAGAAGCCAACAGCUGCGCUAGAAACGCCCACAGAGAAAGCGGCUCCAGCGUCUGGGGCAGGUGACGGCGCCUCGCUAACCUGCGCCGAGGCGGCGGUUAAGAAUGCCAUGACCAAAGCCACCAAAAGAGCCUUCAACACGCUAACUUGCGCCAUUUCAAAAAGAGAGAAGCAGAGAAAUUUUUAUUUUCUACUUUUGCUCUGAAAUUGUAAGAGAAUUUUCUGUGUAUGAAUUUGGGGUUGGUAUUGGGAAAGGGUGGUAUUUAUAGGGGGAGUGAAAGCCGCGUGGGGCCUACGGAGGGGAGAGUGACAGCUGGGUAACGUUCACAUAACAGCUAUUAAAUAAAUUGAGUGAACAGAAGUUACAGCAUAGAGGAGAUUUGUGAACUGCGCAGUUAGAAUCGAAAAGAUUUUGCUGUUGUGGUCGGAAGCCAAUUGGAUGUUGACACGUUUGUCUGGAAGUUCGACUGAUGAAUCUAUGUCGGUGAACGACAUUGCAACCUGGAAGCCCCGUGGGGUUGAUGAAGUUUGGGAAGGUGAUAAUUAAUUCAUGUUAUGUUAUAACAUAUACUAUAUAUGAUCAUUUUUGUUGAUACAACUACUAUAAUCAUUUUGGACAUGUUACUAUGGCAUAAACAUGUCAAUGUACUCGAUUGAUUCAAAAACUUAAAAUUUCAAUUUGAAAAUUUUGAAUUCAAAUUUUAUAACGAGCAAAAUAAAAUAAUUUAUACAAUAAACCUAAUAUCAUUCAAAAGAAACAAGACCACUCUCCUUUUUAUUUAUGUAUGAUAGUCAAUCACAACAAUUAUAUUAUAAAAUUAAAUAUACAAUUAUGGAUUUUGAUAUUUAAUUUUAAAAGAAUCGAUUAAAAUUAUUUAUUUAUUUAUUAUAUUAUUUGAAUUCAAGAAUAAGAAUUAAAUACGUACUCAUUUUUUAAAUUUUUUUCAUAUAUUUAAAUUAUCUUACUUUCAUAAUCACAUUUAUCACAAAUGUAUUGAAUAAUAAUGUUUCAAAAAAAAUAAAAAAAUUCAAAUAAUUAACAUAAUUUAUUUGGGAUUUUAUGAAAACAAAUUUAAAACAAUCAUAAAGUGUAAAAAAUAAGUAUUGGUUAAAUAUAAUUAUAUUGAAUAUAUAUAUAUAUAUAAUUUAUUUGAGGAUUCAAGGCUCCGCUUGUGGCCAUUACAAAUAUAUAUCACUAAUUUGUAACACAACAAAGAUAUCUAAAAAUUUGGAAACAAAUUAAAAAAAAAAAAUGAUAGCACCCAAUAAUAUUAAUUAUCUCAUGGCAGAAUAGAGGUCUCCCCUCAUGAAACCUUCACCAAUGAGUGAAAAGGUGGCAUCCCAUAACUCUUGAAACUUUGAAUUCAAUGCAACAACAAAGCAAUCAAAGAUACCAAUAUGGAGGAACACGCCACCACAACGGAAACCGGCAAAGUAAACCCCGAUCAGGUGUCCAUUGCUGGAGAAGGAGUGAUAUCUUGUGCCAUGUUUCCGGAUACGUAAAACAGUGCCACAACAAACAUUGCCAUCACAAUCUGAGUUGCAGAGAUCCCAAACCCUGCCAUUGACGCUUAACACAAAAUGUAGAGACGACGAGAGAGGGGAAAUUAAUUGAGGUUAGAAUUGUUUGGUUUCUGUAUGAAUUGUGCAAAUGUACUAAGCCUAGAAUUUAUAGGUAUGAUGUGAAAUUUCCUUCAAAUUUCGGAUCCACAAAUGUGAGAACUUAUAAUAACGAUUUCAUUUCCAUGCCUUUUAGGUCACGGCUUGCAUGUGGAAACCCAGAAAACGCUUUGUUUGACUGAUAUAAACUUGGAGAUAUUUAUGUAGCCUUUUGUUGAAUUUUUCUGUAGCAUUUUAACUUUAAAUAUUAAUAUAAAUAUUUUUAAUAUUUUAAUAAUAAAUAGAAUUUGAACUGACUGGUCAAGAUUUUAGAGAUGUAAACCAUGGAUGCCUCUAAUUCAGUACACAAAAGGAAUAUAAUUACACCCCAAGAAAAAAAAAUCACACUAGAAGCACUUUAUUCGAAGAAUCAACUUCAUUACAAUGGUCUAAUGAAGUAACAAAGAAUGAAAGAAUGAAAAAAAAAACAGAAAAGAAAAAAAAAACAAAACCAAUAGAGGAGCCAAACAAGCCCUUUAAUUUAAGGCUUCAAGAAAGCAAGAAGAGAAGCGAUCAAAGAGAAGCCAACAGCUGCGCUAGAAACGCCCACAGAGAAAGCAGCUCCAGCGUCUGGGGCAGGUGACGGCCCCUCGCUAACCUGCGCCGAGGCGGCGGUUAAGAAUGCCAUGACCAAAGCCACCAAAAAAGCCUUCAACACGCUAACUUGAGCCAUUUCAAAAAGAGAGAAGCUGAGAAAUUUUUAUUUCCCUUUUUUGUUCUGAAAGAGAAUUUUGUUUGCUUGGAAUUGGGGUUGGGGAAGGGAAAGUAUGGUAUUUAUAGGGGGAGUGAACGGCGUGUGGGG